Molecule: ribosomal RNA, 432 nt
Filed under: uncultured bacterium
Lineage: Bacteria
Description: partial 16S ribosomal RNA
Rfam family: Bacterial small subunit ribosomal RNA
Source: RNAcentral
AACGAACGCUGGCGGCAUGCCUAACACAUGCAAGUCGAACGAGACCUUCGGGUCUAGUGGCGCACGGGUGCGUAACGCGUGGGAACCUGCCCUUAGGCUCGGAAUAACUCCCCGAAAGGGGUGCUAAUACCGGAUAAUGUCUUCGGACCAAAGAUUUAUCGCCUUUGGAUGGGCCCGCGUUGGAUUAGCUAGUUGGUAGGGUAAAAGCCUACCAAGGCGACGAUCCAUAGCUGGUCUGAGAGGAUGAUCAGCCACACUGGGACUGAGACACGGCCCAGACUCCUACGGGAGGCAGCAGUGGGGAAUAUUGGACAAUGGGCGAAAGCCUGAUCCAGCAAUGCCGCGUGAGUGAUGAAGGCCUUAGGGUUGUAAAGCUCUUUUACCCGGGAUGAUAAUGACAGUACCGGGAGAAUAAGCUCCGGCUAACUCCGU